This 954-nucleotide long non-coding RNA is filed under the name Homo sapiens (human). RNAcentral describes it as "HSALNT0379632". Lineage: Eukaryota; Metazoa; Chordata; Mammalia; Primates; Hominidae. The record is from RNAcentral.
AGAGGACCUCUGUGAGCUCUACCCUCUGAGAGAACAAGGAACUCUGGUUCUUCCCUGACAGGUCACACCUGUGAAACAUGGCUGGACAAUGACACUCAAGCCCAGAAUUCGUACCCACAUAUUUACCAAUUCAGAUCCAUCUGUCUCUGAAAGAAUUUCUCCUCCGCUGAAUUGCAAGAACAUACCCUAGGGUGUGCAGUAUUGCAACUUGGGCAUUUCACAUUAGUUUGGUGAAUUAUAUAAUACACAAAAUAUCUCCAUGGAUGUUGUAACAGGAGAGUCAUCAGAAGCUGGUUGUGUUGUAUAAUCUGGAUAAACCUGGGCUCUCUUCUUAGGAGCUGAACAAGUGGGCUGGCCUUCUAUGAGACGACAGAGGGAAAGAGACAGACUCAAUAUCCAGAGCGAGGGAAUAUUUCAUCGGCGUGUAGACAUCUACGUGGGUGUGUACAGGGAUGCUAGGAUGUGCUCAUACACAGAAGAGCAAGAAUUAUAUUUCGUGGAAAGAAAACCAAAGAGCUUCUGAAUUUACUCUCUUGGAUGUCCAGAUUUGAACAUGUGGAGUGUUGAUGGAACUCAACAUAACUAGGAACUUUUCAGUGAAGGUGUAGGUAACAAUACAAGAUUAUUCUGUUGCCCAGGCUGGAGUGCAGACUCACCUAUUAAUUUAACAGCAUAAAAACGAUCAGUCCAAUUUACGUAGUCCUGUAAUCUCCAUCAAGGAUUUAGGUCCAUGUGGCCUGUGACAGAGCUCUAGUCACAGAGGGAAGAGAGUGGUUUGUUGGGUUGAUGCUGCUUCUUCAGAGGGGAAUUUAAACAACUCCUCACCUCAUCAAGUCUAUUUUUAUAACUGUGCAAGACCCUUGGGAAUGCACUCACCAUUUCUUACAUAAUGGGAGUUGACUGUGUCAUGAAGGUAACACGAAGAUGUGCAAAUUUAAAGCCUGGUUACAUAAC